Molecule: ribosomal RNA, 253 nt
Filed under: uncultured bacterium
Lineage: Bacteria
Description: partial 16S ribosomal RNA
Rfam family: Bacterial small subunit ribosomal RNA
Source: RNAcentral
UACGUAGGGGGCGAGCGUUGUCCGGAUUUAUUGGGCGUAAAGAGCUCGUAGGCGGUUUGUCGCGUCGAAUGUGAAAACCCGGGGCUCAACCCCGGGCCUGCAUUCGAUACGGGCAGACUAGAGUUCGGUAGGGGAGUCUGGAAUUCCUGGUGUAGCGGUGAAAUGCGCAGAUAUCAGGAGGAACACCGGUGGCGAAGGCGGGACUCUGGGCCGAUACUGACGCUGAGGAGCGAAAGCGUGGGGAGCAAACAGG